GAAAAGACGAUGCAAUUACAG
Molecule: non-coding RNA, 21 nt
Filed under: Arabidopsis thaliana (thale cress)
Lineage: Eukaryota; Viridiplantae; Streptophyta; Magnoliopsida; Brassicales; Brassicaceae
Source: RNAcentral